AUUGAACGCUGGCGGCAUGCUUUACACAUGCAAGUCGAACGGUAACAGGCCGCAAGGUGCUGACGAGCGGCGAACGGGUGAGUAAUGCAUCGGAACGUGCCCAGUCGUGGGGGAUAACGCAGCGAAAGCUGCGCUAAUACCGCAUACGAUCUAUGGAUGAAAGCGGGGGACCGUAAGGCCUCGCGCGAUUGGAGCGGCCGAUGUCAGAUUAGGUAGUUGGUGGGGUAAAGGCUCACCAAGCCAACGAUCUGUAGCUGGUCUGAGAGGACGACCAGCCACACUGGGACUGAGACACGGCCCAGACUCCUACGGGAGGCAGCAGGGGGGAAUUUUGGACAAUGGGCGCAAGCCUGAUCCAGCAAUGCCGCGUGCAGGAAGAAGGCCUUCGGGUUGUAAACUGCUUUUGUACGGAACGAAACGGUCCUGGUUAAUACCCGGGGCUAAUGACGGUACCGUAAGAAUAAGCACCGGCUAACUACGUGCCAGCCGCCGCCGUAA
This 498-nucleotide ribosomal RNA is filed under the name uncultured bacterium. Its description in RNAcentral is "partial 16S ribosomal RNA". It matches the Rfam family "Bacterial small subunit ribosomal RNA", at positions 29 to 523 of the family's 1533-position model. The record is from RNAcentral.